UUUUUCUUAUUAUUUGGAAACAAUUAAUUUCAACCAUUUUUUCUCCAAAUUAUGCAAACCACUGCUCUUGUCUUGUUACCCCCUCACUCCAGGGAAAAAAGAAAAAGAAAAAAGAAAAACUGCCUUCCACGGUAGCCAAUAACAUUCCUCCUCCCCACGCCGCCUUCCGACCCGACCAUCACAGUCCAACAACCCAAAUCCACCAAAUGGAACUAGAACUGAGACAAGCAUUUUCCACGGGUCAACAGGGGCAAGUGAGUCUAGAUUAGCCCAAGGGUAGGACUGUGAGUGAUACUGGUGUAAUUACAGUUAGCAACUUCGAAGGUCCAAUUGGAGGAGAUUUUGGAGUCCAAUUACUAUAAUUACAUGUUCAGAUACUCCAAUAAAGUAAUUACCGCGACAAUAAUCGCUACAAGCAAGACAAUUCAUUAAGACAGAGAUGGUGCUGGGCCGGAUUAACUAUAAGAGCCAAACAGGGCUUGGGCAGAGUAGAUACAAUAAGCCGACCACGGAUGUUAAAGUGAAGAUCCUUCAUCCAUGCUGGCCUGCAAGCGUGACAGAGCCAGCAUAACUGCAUAAGGAGCAGAGAAGAAUCUCUAUCACCACCAUCGUCAUGGUCAAAAAUUCAAGAUUUUCGAAAGCAUACUCCAGAGUUUUUAAUGCAGACGUAGGGGACCACCAUACGCUUCUAGCAAUUCCUAUUCAAGAGUUUGGUCUGAUCAUAACCCAGAGAGACUCGAAAAUUAGAAAGCAGGAAAACGUUUCAUACUUCAGCAGUCGAAUUACCUAAACCAACUGAGAACAACACUUUGGCCUUCAAGUCAAAUAUAAAACAUACAUCAGCAUAUUCUAAAUAUGCUACAGAAAAUGUUUCCAGUGGUUUGAAAGACCUCAUUCCUGGAAUAGUUGAUCAUAUGACUCAAGGCACAUGUAGCUUGCACUGCUAUGUUUUCUCUUUACACUUUAUUACGCAUUUAUAAGGUAUGUACCAAUGCUUGUCAGGUCUAUGUACUCCUAAAAAGCAAGAAAAUGUUUCAGGACUUUUGUUGCCAUUCCUGAAUUGCAUAGUAAAGAGCGUAGUUAGGAAGCAGAUCGCAAUGAUCGAGCUGUAGGUUUGUCAUAGGUGAAGUCUUGUGACCGCUGUUCAGCCAUCCUUUUAUUGCAUCGCCUUCAUAUGUAAAA
Molecule: non-coding RNA, 1182 nt
Organism: Coffea arabica (coffee)
Lineage: Eukaryota; Viridiplantae; Streptophyta; Magnoliopsida; Gentianales; Rubiaceae
Source: RefSeq, a predicted model, not a curated record